GAUGAACGCUGGCGGCGUGCCUAAUACAUGCAAGUCGAGCGAACAGACGAGGAGCUUGCUCCUCUGACGUUAGCGGCGGACGGGUGAGUAACACGUGGAUAACCUACCUAUAAGACUGGGAUAACUUCGGGAAACCGGAGCUAAUACCGGAUAAUAUAUUGAACCGCAUGGUUCAAAAGUGAAAGACGGUUUUGCUGUCACUUAUAGAUGGAUCCGCGCCGCAUUAGCUAGUUGGUAAGGUAACGGCUUACCAAGGCGACGAUGCGUAGCCGACCUGAGAGGAUGAUCGGCCACACUGGAACUGAGACACGGUCCAGACUCCUACGGGAGGCAGCAGUAGGGAGUCUUCCGCAAUGGGCGAAAGCCUGACGGAGCAACGCCGCGUGAGUGAUGAAGGUCUUCGGAUCGUAAAACUCUGUUAUUAGGGAAGAACAAAUGUGUAAGUAACUAUGCACGUCUUGACGGUACCUAAUCAGAAAGCCACGGCUAACUACGUG
This 497-nucleotide ribosomal RNA is filed under the name uncultured bacterium. Its description in RNAcentral is "partial 16S ribosomal RNA". It matches the Rfam family "Bacterial small subunit ribosomal RNA", at positions 28 to 507 of the family's 1533-position model. The record is from RNAcentral.